UCCUGGAACUCACUCUGUAGACCAGGCUGGCCUUGAACUCACACCUUCCUCCUCUGGGGUGUUCAGAAGACAAAAGAUUUUUUUUUCAGGUGUAGAAUAUAAACUGGAAAGGAAUUCCUAAUGGUCCUCUGAAUUUCUUUGCAAUCUGUUGAUGUCCUGUGAUGGUUCCCGACUUGAACGACUCUAAAACCAGGGUUUCUCUGCAUAGCUCUAGCUGUCCUGGAACUCACUCUGUAGACCAGGCUGGCCUCGAACUAACAGAGAUCCGCCUGCCGAGUGCUGGGACUACCUGGCAACAUCCAGGAAUCUGAGCAACACUGCUGUUAAGGAUACCCAAUAGAAAGAAGGCAACCCGGUAGGGUCUCUCCAGCCUCAAACCCCUUGGUCAACCCUACCUGACCCACCUAGAAUGGCCACGACCACGUCAUCGCGCAGGAUUUCGAUGGAGCCGCGGGAGAUGAAGUAGAGCGUGGAGAGCACGUCGCCCAGGUGCACCAGCGUGUCUCCCGGCGGCGCGUGCGUGGUCUUGAACUUGACCGCGAGCGCGCGCAGGCACCCCUUGCUGGCGCCGCGGAAGGCGGGGCAGUGCUGCAGCAGCGCGCGGUGCAGGUGCAGGCAGAUGUCCGCCUGCAGGCACUCAGGGAAGCCCUUCAGCACCUGCGGGUGGGGGGUAUGGCGAGUCCCUCCGGGCACAGCAGGGGCUGUGAGUGUUGUGUAUGGGUAGAAGGAUGGGGAGCAGGGGUACACUGCACCGGGCCCUGGACGUUCCCCUGGGCAUGAGUCAAGCAGCUGG
Molecule: long non-coding RNA, 793 nt
Organism: Mastomys coucha (southern multimammate mouse)
Lineage: Eukaryota; Metazoa; Chordata; Mammalia; Rodentia; Muridae
Exons: 3
Source: RefSeq, a predicted model, not a curated record